This 541-nucleotide ribosomal RNA is filed under the name uncultured bacterium. Its description in RNAcentral is "bacterial SSU rRNA". It matches the Rfam family "Bacterial small subunit ribosomal RNA", at positions 355 to 896 of the family's 1533-position model. The record is from RNAcentral.
UGAGGAAUAUUGGUCAAUGGACGCAAGUCUGAACCAGCCAUGCCGCGUGAAGGAUGAAGGCCUUCUGGGUUGUAAACUUCUUUUAUCUGGGAAGAAACCUCCGAUUUCUAUUGGAGCCGACGGUACCAGAGGAAUAAGCACCGGCUAACUCCGUGCCAGCAGCCGCGGUAAUACGGAGGGUGCAAGCGUUAUCCGGAUUCACUGGGUUUAAAGGGUGUGUAGGCGGGUAGUUAAGUCAGUGGUGAAAUCUCCAGGCUCAACCUGGAAACUGCCAUUGAUACUAUCUAUCUUGAAUAUCGUUGAGGUGGGCAGAAUAUGUCAUGUAGCGGUGAAAUGCAUAGAGAUGACAUAGAAUACCGAUUGCGAAGGCAGCUCACUAAACGUGUAUUGACGCUGAGGCACGAAAGCGUGGGGAUCAAACAGGAUUAGAUACCCUGGUAGUCCACGCCCUAAACGAUGAUUACUCGACAUAUGUGAUACACUAUAUGUGUCUGAGCGAAAGCAUUAAGUAAUCCACCUGGGAAGUACGUCCGCAAGGAUG